This 120-nucleotide small nucleolar RNA is filed under the name Echinops telfairi (small Madagascar hedgehog). RNAcentral's name for it is "Small nucleolar RNA SNORA61 (ENSETEG00000025962.1)". Lineage: Eukaryota; Metazoa; Chordata; Mammalia; Afrosoricida; Tenrecidae. The record is from RNAcentral.
AUACUCUAGUUUCCUGCCCCAUCUGAUCUAAACACUGGUCUGAAUGGUUACAAAGGGACGAAAAGUAACAUGGCAAUGGAUGUCAAUGGGGUGUAGUACAUGGACUAGCUUCAAACGGUA